CGCGGUGAAUACGUUCCCGGACCUUGUACACACCGCCCGUCAAGCCAUGGAAGCUGGGUGUACCUAAAGUCGGUAACCGCAAGGAGCCGCCUAGGGUAAAACUAGUAACUGGGGCUAAGUCGUAACAAGGUACCC
RNAcentral lists this ribosomal RNA (135 nucleotides) under uncultured bacterium. Its description in RNAcentral is "partial 16S ribosomal RNA". It matches the Rfam family "Bacterial small subunit ribosomal RNA", at positions 1358 to 1501 of the family's 1533-position model. The record is from RNAcentral.